RNAcentral lists this ribosomal RNA (2112 nucleotides) under Triticum aestivum (bread wheat). Its description in RNAcentral is "partial small subunit ribosomal RNA". The record is from RNAcentral. Lineage: Eukaryota; Viridiplantae; Streptophyta; Magnoliopsida; Poales; Poaceae.
AUGCAAGCUUGUUCUAUGUUACUAGGAAGGCCAUGGCAAUAUGAUAAACAAUGUUUACAUGAUGGUAGAACUAAUCAGUACACUCUCACACAUAAAGGAAAGAAAAUCAUUGUACACCCUAUGUCUCCUGAGCAAAUUUUAAAAGAUGAUCUUGCUAGGGCUAGUAGAAACACAAAUAUUGAGUGUACUAAAUCUGAAAAUCAGAAAGUUGUUGAUGAGUUAGAACAAUUUAAUAAGAUGCACAAAUUUGAUCGUAGCACAUCUAAAGAAAUUAAAUUGAAAGGUGCUUCUUUCUUAGCUACACGUGCUAAAAAAUUUGAGUUAGAUGCUCAUACUGAUGAAUGUUAUGCUCUUAUUUGCAAAGAAGUUUUGUUUUCAUUUGAGGAUAUGCCUUCUUCUUUGCCUCCUGUUGUCGCUAACCUUUUGCAGGAGUAUCAUGAUGUUUUCCCAAAGGAAGUACCACCAGGGCUGCCACCUAUGAGAGGAAUUGAACAUCAAAUUAAAUUGAUACCUGGCGCCUCAUUACCCAACCGUGCGCCGUACCAGACUAAUCCAGAAGAGACCAAGGAGAUUCAGCGACAAGUUCAAGAACUACUCGACAAAGGUUACAUUCAUGAAUCCCUUAGUCCAUGUGCUGUACCAAUUUUACUUGUUCCGAAAAACGACGGUACUUCGCGUAUGUGUGUUGAUUGUAGAGCCAUCAAUAAUAUUACAAUUCGAUAUCGUCAUCCUAUUCCUAGAUUAGAUGACAUGCUUGAUGAACUUAGUGCCUCAGUUGUGUUUUCUAAAGUGGACUUGCGUAGUGGAUACCAUCAAAUUCGUAUCAAACUAGGUGAUGAAUGGAAAACUGCUUUCAAAACUAAUUUUGGUUUAUAUGAGUGGUUAGUUAUGCCUUUUGGAUUGACUAAUGCACCUAGUACUUUCAUGAGACUAAUGAAUGAAGUUUUGCGAGCUUUCAUUGGACGAUUUGUGGUAGUAUAUUUCGAUGAUAUUUUGAUUUAUAGCAAGUCACUAGAGGAACACUUAGACCAUUUGCGUGCUGUUUUUUCUGCUCUGCGUGAUGCACGUUUAUUUGGUAAUAUUGGAAAGUGCACUUUUUGCACGGAGCGAGUCACUUUUCUUGGCUAUGUUGUCACAUCGCAAGGAAUUGAAGUUGAUAAAGCCAAGGUUGAAGCGAUCCAGAGAUGGCCGACCCCUAACUCGGUCACACAGGUACGAAGUUUUCUCAGACUUGCUGGGUUCUAUCGGUGGUUCAUGAAGGAUUUUAGUACCAUCGCAGCGCCGCUCAACGAGCUCACAAAGAAAAAUGUGCCAUUUGUUUGGAGCGACGCACAAGAGGAAGCCUUCACUAUUCUUAAAGAUAAUCUUACACACGCCCCUUUGCUGCAAUUACCUGAUUUUAAUAAGAUGUUUGAAUUAGAAUGUGAUGCUAGAGGCAUUGGUUCAGGCAGUGUUUUAUUGCAAGAAGGAAAACCAGUAGCAUACUUUAGUGAAAAGCUCAGUGGGCCUAGUCUGAAUUAUUCAACAUAUGAUAAAGAACUUUAUGCACUAGAUCGAACUUUGGAGACAUGGCAACAUUAUUUAUGGCCUAAGGAGUUUGUCAUACAUUCUGAUCAUGAAUCACUCAAGCAUAUUAGAAGUCAAAGUAAACUGAACCGUAGACAUGCAAAAUGGGUUGAAUUUAUUGAAUCUUUUCCUUAUGUUAUUAAGCACAAGAAAGGGAAGGAGAAUGUUAUUGCCGAUGCAUUGUCUAGACGCUAUACCAUGUUAUCACAACUUGACUUCAAAAAUUUUGGACUUGAAACUAUAAAAGAGCAAUAUGCUAAUGAUGUCGAUUUUAAAGAUAUAUUGCUCAAUUGCAGAGAGGGUAGAACCUGGAACAAGUUCGUCGCUAAUGACGGAUUUGUUUUUCGUGCUAAUAAGCUAUGCAUCCCAGAUAGCUCUGUUCGUCUUUUGUUGUUAAAGGAGGCACAUGGCGAAGGACUUAUGGGACAUUUCGGCAUCAAGAAGACAGAAGACAUCCUUGCUUGUCAUUUUUUCUGGCCAAAAAUGAGAAGGGAUGUGGAGAGAUAUGUUGCACGCUGCACUACAUGCCAAAAAGCUAAGUCAUGA